AUGACGAUACUAAGCUGGAACUGCCGGGGCCUCGGGCAGCCCCGGACAGUUCAAGAGUUGGUAUGCCUAGUGCAUACCCAUAAGUCCAAGAUCGUCUUCAUCACAUAAACUAGACAUAGCGAGAAUAAAGUAAAAGGAAUAAAAUGGAGACUUGGUCUGAAACAUUGUCUUACCCAAGAUGGGAAGGGAAAUGGAGGUGGUAUUGCUCUAUAUUGGGACGAUGAAAUAAAAUGGUGGGGAACGUUUGUAUAUGGUGAACCCAGGAGCUAGGACCGCCACCACAUGUGGAAUCUGUUGAAGAGGAUUGCCCCGAACUCAAGUGAACCA
This 327-nucleotide ribosomal RNA is filed under the name Triticum aestivum (bread wheat). RNAcentral describes it as "partial small subunit ribosomal RNA". Lineage: Eukaryota; Viridiplantae; Streptophyta; Magnoliopsida; Poales; Poaceae. The record is from RNAcentral.